RNAcentral lists this long non-coding RNA (484 nucleotides) under Capsicum annuum. RNAcentral describes it as "long non-coding RNA (CANN_LNC016034)". The record is from RNAcentral. Lineage: Eukaryota; Viridiplantae; Streptophyta; Magnoliopsida; Solanales; Solanaceae.
AAUUCAGUAACUCCAUUUUUGACAAGUGUGAAUUCAAGCCCAGAAACCAUCCAUACAUUGUCUCACCCGUACCCACAUAUAAAUUCAACCACGGGUAUUGAUCAAGCGGUGGCAAAUCUGGGUAAUUUGAGGAACAAAGUAUCAUUAGCGGCUACUAAAGUGCGGAAAUCAAAGUUGAGUAUAAUAUCUUUGGAUUCUUCUGCUCUAAAAGUUAGCGGUGGAGGAGGAGGCAUCGGUCGUAGCAGACCAUGUUAAGCCGGGUACAGGGGACCAACAUGAAACACCAUGGGUCAGCCUAUUUGUUGGUAAUCCUGUCGCUACAAAUGGUAUGUCCCUUGCUUAUAUUACAUUGGAGUUAGUAUAUAGUAAGGUCGUUGUGAAAUUGGAUAAAACUGAAUUUGAAAAGAGAGAACAAAAAUGGAAAAAUUCGUUGGCGUUAUUUAUGCUUGGGGAGCUGCCAGGUUAUAAAUUAUAUGAAGCGGUA